Stylophora pistillata is the source of this 2469-nucleotide long non-coding RNA. Lineage: Eukaryota; Metazoa; Cnidaria; Anthozoa; Scleractinia; Pocilloporidae. The record is from RefSeq and is a predicted model, not a curated record.
UGUAAAGAUGAAACAAUUUUAGUGUAAUAGUAAAAUCCGAGCCCCAUAUGGUAAAUGAAAUUUUUUAAAAAAUUGUCACUGGCUUGUCAAAUGUGAUAAUAAAAAGGAUAAUGGAAAGUCCAACCAAACAGAAAACUUUAACAUAAGAAAUCUAAUUCACCUCAUUUCUAAAUUUGCUAAUCAAGAUGCUCAAUGAAAAUUGCCUCAUUAAUCUACUUUGAAAAUCAAAAAAUUUUUCUAAUUGCCUUGAGAAUUUUUAGUCUGUUUUGCAUUUGUCUUAAGUCAUGUGUUGACACUUGUUUGUUAUAUUGGAGUAUAUUAUGCGUGUAAGCUUCUGGAUUAUGUUUAUUAUAACACGGAUUUAAUAAUUUUGAGGUUUGUUUUAUAGAGCUUCAUUAAAUUGAGGUUUUACUGUAUUUCAGUUCAAGUAAGGUACAGUUUUAAAUGCCAAAUAGCAUGUGAAUUAAGGUGAUCAUCAAUAGGCCAAAUGAAGUCUAUCUCAUGUGAUGUGCUAUGUUUUAGGUGCUUAAGAAAGAGAAAAACACCAAGGAAACCGCAGGAGAUGUAAAGCAAGGACACAAGAAGACAUAUUAGAGAACUCUGAGGUCAAAUACUAGGUUAGAUAGCAUGGCAAGGUAAGAACUUCUCAUAUAAAUACCACCUAUAAUAUUUACCAAAAACAAAGAUGUGGAAGGAAAUAUUUGGAAACAUUGAUUGUUGUUAACCCUUUCAACCUCUUCAAUCUGAUUGAAAAUUCUCCUUUCCUUUUUAAGCAUAUUUUCAGAUAUUAUUGGCUCAGAGAAUUUGGUGUUACAUCAAGGUAACACUCUGUAGAUAGAAAAAGUUGAUUAGACCCAGUGAUAACAGUUGAAUAUUUACCCUUUCAAAUGUCCUGAUCUAAUCUGAAAUUCUCCUUUCCUCCAUAACACAUUUGUUGUAUUUUUAGUGUAGAGAACUUGGUGUAAAGCUGUACAUUAAGAUCACAUUCUCUUGAACAAUGCUGUUAGACCUAAUGGUAACAACUGAUUGUUUAGUGAGAUCUUGAGGGUAAUAGUUGUCUUGAAAAGACAUUGUGCCACAGACAGUUUGGGGAGUUACUAAUGAGAUCUUGGGAGUGAAAAGAUUAUUUAGGAACAAACUAGAAGAAAAGCCUCAAAGUUUUACCUGUCAGUUACAGAGUGUGUAAACAAGAUGAUCCCAGUGUUUACAAUAACUACUUUAUUAGUUGAAUUUUAGUUCAAAGGGAGUUUGGUUUGUUGCUGUGGAUCCAGAAGAUCUAAAGGAAAUUACUGGGAAAAAACAAAGACUGAAACUGGAGAUACAAAUGAUUUGCUAGUUACUGGAAGCCUGGAAGGGAUAACAAAAAGGAUUGCACUGGACUGUGAAAUGGCAGGAGUUGGGUUUGAUGCCAAGGGGCACAUGUUGGCAUGACUGUCUAUUGUUAACUGACAUGGUCUUGUGGUCUGUGAGUCAUUUGUCACACCAUAGGAGAAAGUGGUUGAUUAUCGCACUCAUGUCAGUGGAAUUGGACCUGACAAUCUGAAAAAUGCUCCAGAAUUCAAGACAGUUCAACUUGAAGUUCAAAAAUUCUUAAAGAGAAAACCCCUGUGGGAUAUUCCUUGAAGAAUGACCUUGAGUCUCAAGAAGAGACUUGGAGCAGAGCAGGGACUGGUUUCUAAUAUCUCCUUACUGCAUCACCCUGCAAAGGUCACAAGAAUACUGCAAAUGAUCACCAAAUUAGGAAGCUGCUGAUUAUCAAACAAAUUCUCCUUGAUGACAACACAGAAAAUAUAGAGACAACAGUGUGGAGAAUAUCAAUGUUGAUGUCAGGGUGUAAAAGGAUUAGGUUAAUUUUGCCCCUUAUUAGGUUAAGGACAAUCAGCAAAAGUUAAGGGGAAAAUUUACACACUUGGUUGAUUACAAGCAGAAACACAGCUGUUUUUCUUGAGUUUAGGCCAAUUUUCAACAAAAGCAUCUGGAAAAAAGUCACAAUCUAUUUACAUUUGUAUUUAUACCAUGUACAAGAUACACAGGUAGCCAUGAAGCUUUACACUUUGCACAGAAAACAGUGGGAAAGACAAUUACAUGAAGCUAGAGUAGAGCCUUCUAAGAGAGCACUUGUAAAUAGACUUGUUACCUCAAGUCAUAAUAGAUAACAGAGCUACAAAGAUGGUAAAACAGCAGUGCAAUAUGGGAUUGUUUGCAAAGUUGGGGGGCACAGGGUUACCAAGUAACACAAACCUCAUCAAGACAAUUUUUUAUUGGUGAAGGAGUUGUGCUGGAGACUUUUUAGUCAGUGAAUUCAAAGAGUUUUUCCUGCGCAGGGUUAUUGGAGACUUUUUAGUCAGUGAAUUCAAAGAGUUUGUCCUGUGCAGGGUUAUUGGAGACUUUUUAAUCAGUGAAUUCAAAGAGUUUGUCCUGUGCAGGGUUAUUGGAGACUUUUUAGUCAGUGAAUUCAAAGAGUUUGUC